This 253-nucleotide ribosomal RNA is filed under the name uncultured bacterium. Its description in RNAcentral is "partial 16S ribosomal RNA". It matches the Rfam family "Bacterial small subunit ribosomal RNA", at positions 524 to 776 of the family's 1533-position model. The record is from RNAcentral.
UACGAAGGGGGCUAGCGUUGUUCGGAAUUACUGGGCGUAAAGCGCGCGCAGGCGGUUCGAUAAGUUGGGGGUGAAAUCCCCGGGCUCAACCCGGGAAUUGCCUUCAAGACUGUCGAGCUAGAGGACGAGAGAGGUGAGUGGAAUUCCCAGUGUAGAGGUGAAAUUCGUAGAUAUUGGAAGGAACACCGGUGGCGAAGGCGACCAUCUGGGUCAUUACUGACGCUGAGGAGCGAAAGCGUGGGGAGCGAACAGG